GGAGGAACCUCUGGAGAGAACCGUUCAAUCGGUCGCCGAAGGAGCAAGCUGUGCUGAUCACAUCAGCAGAGUGAAACUCUCAGGCAAAAGGACAGAGGAGUGAAA
Vibrio metschnikovii CIP 69.14 is the source of this 105-nucleotide non-coding RNA. Lineage: Bacteria; Pseudomonadati; Pseudomonadota; Gammaproteobacteria; Vibrionales; Vibrionaceae. The record is from Rfam.